RNAcentral lists this ribosomal RNA (389 nucleotides) under uncultured soil bacterium. RNAcentral's name for it is "bacterial SSU rRNA". It matches the Rfam family "Bacterial small subunit ribosomal RNA", at positions 26 to 423 of the family's 1533-position model. The record is from RNAcentral.
AGCCUGAACGCUGGCGGCGUGGCUAAGACAUGCAAGUCGCACGGGCCUAGCAAUAGGUCAGUGGCGAACGGGUGAGUAAUGUAUCGCUAACGUACCCCGGACUCUGGGAUAGCUGCCCGAAAGGGCAGGUAAUACCGGAUGAGACCCCGGCCCGCAUGGGGUUGUGCUCAAAGGUCCGCCGGUCUGGGAGCGGGCGAUAUCGUAUCAGCUAGUUGGCGGGUAACGCCCACAAGGCGACGACGCGUAGCCGGACUGAGAGGUCGGUCGGCCACAUCGGGACUGAGACACUGCCCGGACUCCGUACGGGGGGCUGCAGUAACGAAGUCUUCCCCAAUCGCACGAAACGUGUAGAGGGAGCGACGCCGCGUGUGGGACGAAGUCCGUUCGGA